UAUUUUAAUCUAUUCAGAGGAAUUUGUUUUAUAAUCGAUAAUCCACGAUGGACCUUACUUAAAUUUGUAAUCAGUUUAUAUACCGUCGUUAUUAGAAUAUUUUAUUAGAAAGAUAAUUUUCUUAAUUUUUAAAAAGAAAAAAUAUCAGAUCAAGGUGUAGUUUAUAUUUAAGUAAAAAUGAAUUACAAUAAAAUUAUUUAUAUGAAUAUAAAUUUGAAAUAUUUAUUGAAGGUGGAUUUGAUAGUAAAAUUAUAUAGAUUAAUAAUUUGAUUUUAGUUCUAAAAUAUGCACACAUCGCCCGUCGCUCUUAUUAUUAAGAUAAGAUAAGUCGUAACAAAGUAGAUGUACUGGAAGGUGUAUCUAGAAUACAAUUUAAAGCUUAUUAAGUAAAGUAUUUCAUUUACAUUGAAAAGAUUUUUGUGCAAAUCGAUAUAAAUUGAUUAGAUUUUAUUUAUUAAUAUUUUAUUUAUUUAUAUUUUUAUAUUAAAAGUAAUUAUAAUAAAUCAUUUUUAGUAUUUUAUAAAGAAAAAAUAUUUUAAAUAAUAGUUUAAUAGAAUUGUAAAAUAAUAU
Molecule: ribosomal RNA, 570 nt
Filed under: Eumesembrinella quadrilineata
Lineage: Eukaryota; Metazoa; Arthropoda; Insecta; Diptera; Calliphoridae
Description: partial 12S ribosomal RNA
Rfam family: tRNA (bases 369-440)
Source: RNAcentral